AGCGAACGUUAGCGGCGGGCCUAACACAUGCAAGUCGAACGCGAAAGGUCUUCGGACUGAGUAGAGUGGCGCACGGGUGAGUAACACGUAGGUAAUCUACCCUUUGGCGGGGGAUAACGUUCCGAAAGGAGCGCUAAUACCGCAUAAGACCACGGAGUCUCCGGACGCUGUGGGAAAAGGUGGCCUCUUCUUGAAAGCUACCACCGAAGGAUGAGCCUGCGUCCCAUCAGCUAGUUGGUAAGGUAAUGGCUUACCAAGGCGAAGACGGGUAGCUGGUUUGAGAGAAUGAUCAGCCACACUGGCACUGGAACACGGGCCAGACUCCUACGGGAGGCAGCAGUGAGGAAUAUUGGACAAUGGGCGCAAGCCUGAUCCAGCCAUGCCGCGUGAGUGAAGAAGGCCUUCGGUUGUAAGACUCUUCUAGGUGGAAGAAAUACGCACUUUUAAUUACUAAGGUAGUGG
RNAcentral lists this ribosomal RNA (462 nucleotides) under uncultured bacterium. Its description in RNAcentral is "bacterial SSU rRNA". It matches the Rfam family "Bacterial small subunit ribosomal RNA", at positions 29 to 474 of the family's 1533-position model. The record is from RNAcentral.